Non-coding RNA from Phrynosoma platyrhinos (Desert horned lizard), 72 nucleotides. NCBI's taxonomy places the organism in Eukaryota, Metazoa, Chordata, Lepidosauria, Squamata, Phrynosomatidae. The record is from the annotation of a GenBank genome assembly.
GCCAGCAUAGUGUAGUGGUUUGAGUGUUGGAUUAUGACUCCAGAGACCAGGGUUCAAAUCUCUGCUCAGCUA